GACGAACGCUGGCGGCGUGCUUAACACAUGCAAGUCGAACGGAAAGGCCCUGCUUUUGUGGGAUGCUCGAGUGGCGAACGUGUGAGUAACACGUGAUUAACCUGCCCUGGACUUUGGGAUAACUUCAGGAAACUGGUGCUAAUACCUGAUAUUAGCUCCUGCUGCAUGGUGGUUGUUGGAAAGUUUCGGCGGUUGGGGAUGGACUCGUGGCUUAUCAUCGUGUUGGUGGGGUAGUGGCUUACCAAGGCUUUGAAGGGUAGCCGGCCUGAGAGGGUGACCGGCAACAUUGGGACUGAGCUACGGGCCAGACCAGUACGGGAGGCAGCAGUGGGGACUAUUGCAUAAUGGGCGGAAGCCUCAUGCAGCAACGACGCGUGAGGGAUGACGACCUUCGGGUUGUAAACCGCUUUAGCCUGUGACGAAGCGUGAGUGACGGUAAUGGGUAAAGAAGCACCGGCUAACUACGUG
RNAcentral lists this ribosomal RNA (468 nucleotides) under uncultured bacterium. Its description in RNAcentral is "partial 16S ribosomal RNA". It matches the Rfam family "Bacterial small subunit ribosomal RNA", at positions 28 to 507 of the family's 1533-position model. The record is from RNAcentral.